AAGGAAUAUUGGUCAAUGGACGCAAGUCUGAACCAGCCAUGCCGCGUGAAGGAUGAAGGUCCUCUGGAUUGUAAACUUCUUUUAUCUGGGACGAAAACGGGAUUUUAUCUCAAUUGACGGUACCAGAGGAAUAAGCACCGGCUAACUCCGUGCCAGCAGCCGCGGUAAUACGGAGGGUGCGAGCGUUAUCCGGAUUUACUGGGUUCAAAGGGUGCGUAGGUGGGCUUAUAAGUCAGUGGUGAAAUCUCCGAGCUUAACUUGGAAACUGCCGUUGAUACUAUAGGUCUUGAAUUAUCUGGAGGUAAGCGGAAUAUGUCAUGUAGCGGUGAAAUGCUUAGAUAUGACAUAGAACACCGAUUGCGAAGGCAGCUUACUACAUAUAAAUUGACGCUGAGGCACGAAAGCGUGGGGAUCAAACA
This 419-nucleotide ribosomal RNA is filed under the name uncultured bacterium. RNAcentral's name for it is "bacterial SSU rRNA". It matches the Rfam family "Bacterial small subunit ribosomal RNA", at positions 356 to 774 of the family's 1533-position model. The record is from RNAcentral.